GUUCUUAAUAUGUUGCUGGGCACACAACUUGGUCUCUAAGUGUGAGAGGCAUGGCAAGGAAGAGGGAUGUCCCAUUGAUCACCCGAACAGAGUAGCUAUUCUGGAGCCACUCAGCUGGUAAAGUCAUUUUCCACAAAGCUGCACUCCUUUGGACUGAACUGUAUCACACCCCCCAGGACCUCAUCAUCCUUCAAGAUGACAUCAGCCUUGGUACUCAUACUUCAACAGUACCCUGCCCCCUGAUUCUCAGGCUGGUGGGUAGAACAAAGCACUCUUCACAAAGUUUCCCAGCCAUCUCUUCAUUUCCCACCCAGCUUUACUCCUUUGGACUGGACACCAUCAUGUACCUUCCCAUCCCUCUCUCCACUGUCCACUUUUCCACUUCUUUGCAUAUGUCUGCCCCCAUUAGAUUGCAAAUUCCUUGAAAAAAAGGAUGGUCUUUUUUUUUUUGUAUUUGUAUCCCCAAUACUUAGCAGAGUGCCU
Molecule: long non-coding RNA, 483 nt
Organism: Phascolarctos cinereus (koala)
Lineage: Eukaryota; Metazoa; Chordata; Mammalia; Diprotodontia; Phascolarctidae
Source: Ensembl